This 395-nucleotide transfer-messenger RNA is filed under the name Patescibacteria group. RNAcentral's name for it is "JAKAKZ01 sp021824285 X1 Standard tmRNA". It matches the Rfam family "transfer-messenger RNA". Rfam says of the family: Bacterial tmRNA, also known as 10Sa RNA or SsrA, is named for its dual tRNA and mRNA-like properties. Its role is to liberate the mRNA from a stalled ribosome. RNAcentral also lists the same sequence under 1 other name. The record is from RNAcentral.
GGGGAUGCCAGGCAUCGACGGGAGAACAUUUCACGGCCCGCAAGCCGAGCACGACCACUGUCUCGUUAAACCAAGGUCAAAGAAUAAGUGUCAACUUGUUCAACCGGGUGAAGAACGCCAUGGCUAACGCCUUCGCGCCUUCAUUCGCUCCGACUUUCGCCUAAACGCCAAAGUCCAUCCGCUCCGCCGACGUCCGAUAGGCGGAAUCCGGGUGUCAUUUUUCGGACAGAGCUACGGCGGUUCUCCGACGCCGCAGCCGACCAUGAACGGGGAUAGGGAAGCCGUAUUUUGGCCGUUUUUACCGGCUGACCGAAAAUUCCUAAACGUGCCUAAGCUUGUAUCCGUGCCGCGCCUUGUCUCACCGGACGGGAGUUCAAUUCUCCCCAUCUCCACCA